Molecule: ribosomal RNA, 256 nt
Filed under: uncultured Enterococcaceae bacterium
Lineage: Bacteria; Bacillati; Bacillota; Bacilli; Lactobacillales; Enterococcaceae
Description: partial 16S ribosomal RNA
Rfam family: Bacterial small subunit ribosomal RNA
Source: RNAcentral
UACGUAGGUGGCAAGCGUUGUCCGGAUUUAUUGGGCGUAAAGCGAGCGCAGGCGGUUUCUUAAGUCUGAUGUGAAAGCCCCCGGCUCAACCGGGGAGGGUCAUUGGAAACUGGGAGACUUGAGUGCAGAAGAGGAGAGCGGAAUUCCAUGUGUAGCGGUGAAAUGCGUAGAUAUAUGGAGGAACACCAGUGGCGAAGGCGGCUCUCUNGGUCUGUAACUGACGCUGAGGCUCGAAAGCGUGGGGAGCAAACAGGAU